GCCAGACUCCUACGGGAGGCAGCAGUGGGGAAUAUUGCACAAUGGGGGGAACCCUGAUGCAGCGACGCCGCGUGGGCGAGGAAGUAUUUCGGUAUGUAAAGCCCUAUCGGCAGGGAAGAAGAAAUGACGGUACCUGAAUAAGAAGCACCGGCUAAAUACGUGCCAGCCGCCGCGGGAAUACGUAGGGGGCUAGCGUUAUCCGGAAUUACUGGACGUAAAGGGUGCGUAGGUGGUUUCUUAAGUCAGAGGUGAAAGGCUACGGCUCAACCGUAGUAAGCCUUUGAAACUGGGGAACUUGAGUGCAGGAGAGGAGAGUGGAAUUCCUAGUGUAGCGGUGAAAUGCGUAGAUAUUAGGAGGAACACCAGUGGCGAAGGCGGCUUACUGGACUGAGACUGACGUUGAGGCUCGAAAGCGUGGGGAGCAAACAGGAUUAGAUACCCCGGUAACA
This 449-nucleotide ribosomal RNA is filed under the name uncultured bacterium. RNAcentral's name for it is "partial 16S ribosomal RNA". It matches the Rfam family "Bacterial small subunit ribosomal RNA", at positions 330 to 795 of the family's 1533-position model. The record is from RNAcentral.